ACUAUUUGAAUCCUGUUAGACUGUCAAUUUUCCCAACUACUUCUUAAUCACUCGGACUGAUGCUUGAUGUUAGAAAAGGUUUAUUGGGAUGCCAAUAAAGCUCUUCUUCUGAUGCUUUCUUUUUUCUUUCUUUAAUUCAUAUUAUUAUAGAUGAUGUAUCAUUGGCAAAUCGAAAAUGAAACUGAUUUUAUUGCAUUGAUGACUUAAAUGACAGGCUAGGCAGUCUCUUAUUGUUAGAAGGAUUUUCCCCAUCCUUGCAGAUCCAAGACAUCCGGCUGAGUCCACAAAUGCAACCGAUGAGUCAAUAUUGAAGGUUGCACUAGACCAUGGGAAAACAGCUGGUGUUAUAAAGCCACAUGACCGAGUUGUUGUUUUCCAGAAAGUUGGCGACUAUCUGUGGUGAAGAUCAUUGAGCUUGAAAAUUAGGCUAGUACAUCUUUGUAUGUUUCACUUGGCUGUUCAACAUCAGAGCAUUCUCAAGUUAACAGAAUGCAUGAAAACGAUCCAAUGGAGCUAUAAAACCAGGUUGAUCCAUGGCUGUAAUAAUUGCUCCUGAUAGAUGUAAAUCCUCUUCAUGAGCUGGAUGCCAUAUUUGUGUGCAGUGUAAAUGAAGUUGAAGUGAAGCCAAAGCCAAGAAUUCUGCCUAAUCCUACGACAUAAAUACUUGUUGUAAUUAUCAUAUAUUGAAAACAAAUGACUUU
Long non-coding RNA from Solanum stenotomum, 701 nucleotides. RefSeq lists it as uncharacterized. Lineage: Eukaryota; Viridiplantae; Streptophyta; Magnoliopsida; Solanales; Solanaceae. The record is from RefSeq and is a predicted model, not a curated record. The transcript is spliced from 3 exons.